RNAcentral lists this unclassified non-coding RNA (333 nucleotides) under uncultured Mortierella. RNAcentral describes it as "sequence contains ITS2". The stretch from base 1 to 52 matches the Rfam family "5.8S ribosomal RNA", at positions 103 to 154 of the family's 154-position model. Lineage: Eukaryota; Fungi; Mortierellomycota; Mortierellomycetes; Mortierellales; Mortierellaceae. The record is from RNAcentral.
AACGCAUAUUGCGCUCUCUGGUAUUCCGGAGAGCAUGCUUGUUUGAGUAUCAGUAAACACCUCAAAUCCCUCUACUUGUUGGAGGAAUUUGGACUUGAGCAAUCCCAACUUUUCGAAAGAGAAGGCGGGUUGCUUGAAAUGCAGGUGCAGCUAGAUUCUUUCUUCUGAGCUAUAAGCAUACUUAUUUAAUCCCGUCAAACGGAUUAUUACUUUUGCUGCAGCUAACAUAAAGGUUGAAGAGUCGCUAUGGCUGACUGAUGCAGGAUUUAACAUGUCGCGCAAGCGAUCUGUAAACUCGAUCUCAAAUCAAGCAAGACUACCCGCUGAACUUAA